This 768-nucleotide ribosomal RNA is filed under the name Telesto sanguinea. Its description in RNAcentral is "partial large subunit ribosomal RNA". It matches the Rfam family "Eukaryotic large subunit ribosomal RNA", at positions 402 to 966 of the family's 3401-position model. Lineage: Eukaryota; Metazoa; Cnidaria; Anthozoa; Malacalcyonacea; Clavulariidae. The record is from RNAcentral.
AAACCGUUGAAAGGGAAGCGAAUGGAGUUAGCAAUUCGCCACGCCAGAUUCAGUCUCUCGCGUUCCGCGGCGCGCGUGCUCUCGAUCUUCGUAGACGAGACGCGCGCGCACGCGGGACGGGGGCGGCGCACUUCUGGCGGGCGAGCGUCAACGUCGGUCGGCCGCGUGCUACAAGGCCGCGAGGAAGGUGGACCGCCCUCCGGGGCGAUUGUUAUAGCCUCGCGAUCGCAUGGCACGAGGGCGACCGUGGAACGCCGCGACGCGUGCCUCCCUUCGCGGAGGGGGGCUGGGGUCCUGUUCUGUCGAUCCGGUUGUCGACCGCGGCGGACGGCACGCCUGUGCGCUCGAACCGCUGCCGGUCGACAGGGCGGUGAUCACACACUACGCGUCGAGGACGUUGACGACCAUACGGCUCCAUCCGACCCGUCUUGAAACACGGACCAAGGAGUCUAACAUGUGCGCGAGUCUCCGGGUGAUCGAAACCUGUGGGCGCAAUGAAAGUAAAGGCGGCCCACGCCGCUGAGGUGAGAGGCACGUCGCUACACGGCGCGUGCCGCAUCAUCGACCGACCUGUUCUACUCUUAGAAAGGUUUGAGUAAGAGCGUACCUGUUGGGACCCGAAAGAUGGUGAACUAUGCCUGAAUAGGGUGAAGCCAGCGGAAACACUGGUGGAAGCUCGUAGCGAUUCUGACGUGCAAAUCGAUCGUCGAAUUUGGGUAUAGCGGCGAAAGACUAAUCGAACCAUCUAGUAGCUGGUUCCCUCCGAAG